CCCUUAGAUGUCCGGGGCCGCACGCGCGCUACAAUGGAUGAAUCAACGCGUCAUCCUGGCCCGAAAGGGUUGGGGAACCGCUGAACCUCAUCCGUGGUUGGGAUUGGGGUUUGUAAUUAUUCCCCAUGAACUAGGAAUUCCCAGUAAGCGCGAGUCAUAAGCUCGCGUUGAUUACGUCCCUGCCCUUUGUACACACCGCCCGUCGCUACUACCGAUUGGAUGGUUUAGUGAGAUCCUCGGAUUGGUCACGGCACGGUGGCAACACUGCGUCGGUGUGCCGAGAAGACGAUCAAACUUGAUCAUCUAGAGGAAGUAAAAGUCGGAACA
This 327-nucleotide ribosomal RNA is filed under the name uncultured eukaryote. RNAcentral's name for it is "partial 18S ribosomal RNA". It matches the Rfam family "Eukaryotic small subunit ribosomal RNA", at positions 1470 to 1796 of the family's 1831-position model. The record is from RNAcentral.